GGAAUAUUGGUCAAUGGGCGAGAGCCUGAACCAGCCAAGUAGCGUGAAGGAAGACUGCCCUAUGGGUUGUAAACUUCUUUUAUGAGGGAAUAAAGUGUGGCACGUGUGCCAUUUUGUAUGUACCUCAUGAAUAAGCAUCGGCUAAUUCCGUGCCAGCAGCCGCGGUAAUACGGAAGAUGCGAGCGUUAUCCGGAUUUAUUGGGUUUAAAGGGAGCGUAGGCGGAUGAUUAAGUCUGCGGUAAAAUGUCAGUGCUCAACGCUGGCCUGCCGUGGAAACUGGUUGUCUUGAAUGUGCACAAGGAAGGUGGAAUUCGUGGUGUAGCGGUGAAAUGCUUAGAUAUCACGAAGAACUCCGAUUGCGAAGGCAUCCUUCUGGGGCAUGAUUGACGCUGAGGCUCGAAAGCGCGGGUAUCAAACA
This 418-nucleotide ribosomal RNA is filed under the name uncultured Paraprevotella sp. Its description in RNAcentral is "bacterial SSU rRNA". It matches the Rfam family "Bacterial small subunit ribosomal RNA", at positions 358 to 774 of the family's 1533-position model. The record is from RNAcentral. Lineage: Bacteria; Pseudomonadati; Bacteroidota; Bacteroidia; Bacteroidales; Prevotellaceae.